Molecule: ribosomal RNA, 230 nt
Filed under: uncultured bacterium
Lineage: Bacteria
Description: partial 16S ribosomal RNA
Rfam family: Bacterial small subunit ribosomal RNA
Source: RNAcentral
GGAUGCCGAUCUCGAAAACCUGUCCCAGUUCGGACUGGAGUCUGCAACCCGACUCCACGAAGUUGGAUUCGCUAGUAAUCGCGCAUCAGCCAUGGCGCGGUGAAUACGUUCCCGGGCCUUGUACACACCGCCCGUCAAGCCAUGGGAGCCGGGGGGCGCCUGAAGUCCGGGACCGCGAGGACCGGCCUAAGGCGAAACUGGUGACUGGGGCUAAGUCGUAACAAGGUAAC